Molecule: ribosomal RNA, 466 nt
Filed under: uncultured bacterium
Lineage: Bacteria
Description: partial 16S ribosomal RNA
Rfam family: Bacterial small subunit ribosomal RNA
Source: RNAcentral
GACGAACGCUGGCGGCGUGCUUAACACAUGCAAGUCGAACGGAAAGGCCCUGCUUGCAGGGUACUCGAGUGGCGAACGGGUGAGUAACACGUGGGUGAUCUGCCCUGCACUUCGGGAUAAGCCUGGGAAACUGGGUCUAAUACCGGAUAGGAGCCAUUUUUAGUGUGAUGGUUGGAAAGUUUUUUCGGUGUAGGAUGAGCUCGCGGCCUAUCAGCUUGUUGGUGGGGUAAUGGCCUACCAAGGCGGCGACGGGUAGCCGGCCUGAGAGGGUGGACGGCCAAAGUGGGGAUGGAGAGCCGCCCAAGCCCCCGCGGGGGGGAGGGGGGGGGGAAUGUGGAAAAAGGGGGGCAGGCUGAAUGAGGGGCCCCGGGGGGGGGGAUGCGGCCCUUGGGGUUGAAACCUCUUUCGGUGGGGGAGGAAGUUUUUUGGGAGGGUCCUUAGUAAAGAGGCCCGGGCAACCUCCGGC